AAUUGGGUCUUACGCGGCGCACACUUGCUAACCCCGCCAGGGCCGGAAGGCAGCAACGGUACGUGAGUCACUGUGGGUGUCGUAGGGUCGCCUAAUUGGU
RNAcentral lists this signal recognition particle RNA (100 nucleotides) under Herpetosiphonaceae bacterium. Its description in RNAcentral is "signal recognition particle sRNA small type". It matches the Rfam family "Bacterial small signal recognition particle RNA". Rfam says of the family: The signal recognition particle (SRP) is a universally conserved ribonucleoprotein involved in the co-translational targeting of proteins to membranes. Archaeal SRP consists of a 7S RNA and homologues of the eukaryotic SRP19 and SRP54 proteins. The record is from RNAcentral. Lineage: Bacteria; Bacillati; Chloroflexota; Chloroflexia; Herpetosiphonales; Herpetosiphonaceae.